CCUUCGGCAAACCUGACCAUGACUCCAUUUUGCUCUUACCGUCCUUUCGGCAGAAACUCAAACAGGAUGUACCCGUGACUAGAACUAUUCAACGCUGAUCUGUCCAAUCAUUUUAAGAUUGUUUUGAUCACCUGGACUGGGAAAUAUUCCAGGCAGCCUCAGAGAAUAACAUCGAUUUAUAUGCUGAUUUGCAGAUCAGGCUUCCCAUCCUCCAUGUCUACUGACUGUAAGAGAUACAGAGUGAGAGGAUGUUGGUUCAAGAAAUCUGAUAUGAGCACCCUGCUAUGGAUCAUCUUCUGAUUGGACAAUGAGGGACUGCUAUGAGUACUAUGCAAACAUAAGGUGGUGUUGUCUGGUUGUCCUCUAUGACCAUGGUCCCUUCUGGGUUCCACAGACUCUCCUCACAGCCCUCCUCCUUCACCAGCAGCACCUCUGGACCCUCCUCCUCCUGGAAGAGACAGGUGAUACAGAUUACACAGACAUACACUUCCUCAGAUAAUCUCAGCUUGGAUGUCAGCCCACCACCUCAAGCUCAAUCUCGACAAGACAGAGCUGCCCAUCUUCUGGGGGAAGGCCUGCCUGCUCCAAGACCUCUCCAUCAUGGUUGACAAUUCCAUGGUGUCCCUCUCCCAGAGUGCAAAGAACCUUCAUGUGACCCUUGACAACACCCUGUCAUUCUCUGCUAAAAUCAAAGCAGUGACUCGCUCCUGCAGGUUCAUGCUCCACAACAUCCAUAGAGUACGACCCUUCCUCACACAGGACGCGGCACAUGUCCUAAUCCAGGCUCUUGUCAUCUCCCAUCUAGACUACUGCAACUCUGUUGGCUUGGCUCCCUGCUUGUGCCAUCAAACCCCUGCAACUUAUCCAUAACGCUGCAGCCCGUCCGGUAUUUAACCUUCCCAAGUUCUUCCAUGUCACCCUGCUCCUUGACACACUCCACUGACUUCCAGUUGUGGCUCGCAUCCACGGAGCAGCAAGGGGAACUGCCCCUCCAUACCUUCAGGCUAUGCUCAAACCCUACACCCCAACCCGAGCACUCCAUUCUGUCACCUCUGGUCUCUUGGCCGCAUCUGUUCAACCUAGUCUAAGCUCUUCUCUGUCAAGGCACCCCAAUGGUGGAACAAGCUUAACGCUGAAGCUAGGACAGCAAAUUCUCUGCCCAUUUUCCAAAGAUGUCUGAAACCCUAUCUCUUCAAAGAGUAUCUUAAAUUAAUCCACCCCCCCAAAUUUGCAAAGACUAUGUUGUGUGGCUGUCUCACCCAGCUUUUUUAAGACUAAUUGUAAGUCGCUCUGGAUGAAACCGAAUGCAAAAUGAAUAAAAUGUAAAUAUAAAAUGUAAUGUCUCUACUAAAAAUCAGCAUUAACUUGAUAAACAGCAUAAAUUGUCAUUAAAAUUAAAUUGUUGAAUGGAAGUAAUGAAAUAGGCAUUUGUGAACACCACAGCCUACAAUUUCUGGAUGCAACAUUCUACCGAGGAAUAUUCAACACUGAAAUCUGUUACUCCCGUUAUUACAAAUGCAUCUGUGGAUCUUUUAUGCUGACAACAAUGAAAAUAAAUAUUUGUCUUUAAUGCAGGGUUUGAUUUAACGUCAG
Molecule: long non-coding RNA, 1593 nt
Filed under: Salmo salar (Atlantic salmon)
Lineage: Eukaryota; Metazoa; Chordata; Actinopteri; Salmoniformes; Salmonidae
Description: lncRNA (ENSSSAG00000091542.1)
Source: RNAcentral